UUGUGACUAAAAGACUUGACAAGAAAAAUCUUAGAGAAAAAAAAAGGUUUUUUGUGACUCAUGGUUUCAAAAGUCUCAGUCAUAGAGAGCCCAGUCCUUUCUUCUGGGUGAGGUGAGGCAAAACAUCAGGGUGGAAAGUCAUGGGAAAGGAAAGCAGCUCCUGGCAAACAGGAAGCAGAGAGCUCUGUUCACCAAGGACAAAACAUAAACCCCAAAGGCACGUCCCUAUUAACUUACUUCCUCCAAUCACACCCUACCUGCUUACAGUUACCACAUAGCUUAAUUCCUAUCAGUGUUCAGUUUGCUGAUUAGAUUAAGGCUCUUAUAACUCAAUUAUUCCACCUUUAGACUUGCAUUAUCUUACACACAGACAGAUCUUAUUUUAACAAAUACUGUUCAAUAUUUUGGAAAUGCCAGUUUUUCACUCUUUCCUAUAGUAUUCUUCUGGUUUAUUAAAACAUGAUUCUCAAUAAAUAUUUUAGGAUGUGAUCCUUUGAAACAUAAUCUUUUAGAAAAAAAAUUAGGCAAAAUCAUUUCGAGAAGAAACUUCUUUUUCAAAAGAGGUGGAAGUCUCUGUGCAAAAUCACUCAAGAAAAUCAACAACACAAGAAUAUCAAAACAAACAACCCCAAUAAUCCAAAAUCAUACUUUUCUUCUGUUUAUCCUUUCUUGAUGGAAUGACUUAAUGGUAAUAAUUUCAGCCAAACAUGUAUAGAUCAUUUUAUUUUUAAAAUUUUCUUAGAGAUUAUUUGUCUUGCUCCAUCAAUUUCAUAACUAAAAGCAACUGCAACAUUUUUGUAGCUUUCAAGUGAAAAACAAUAGAGUUUAUGAAGCUUUCUCAUGAAGUGUUUAAUAUACUUAAGGGUUUUAUAUAUCUUCAAAUGUUCUAAAAUCUGUUCUUUAAAUUUAAAAAAAAAACUUAACCAUAAAUUAUCUUAAGUAAAUUUUACUCAUGAUAAUUUAUUUUGCUUUAAGAACUAGUCAAGCUAUGUAGACUGAGAACAAAUGAGAAACCAAAAGAUGUCAUAGGGCCAACACACUAGGAAAAUGUAUAAUAAGUGAAAAUAACUCAGAGCAAGAUACAUUUAAAUAAAAAAAAAACUAAACAUAUAACUCUAAUAUUAUUUGUAGGGACAUACUUAUUUACACUCAGAGAGGAAGAUUAAGGGCCCAAAGUUUACAUAAAUAUCCAUACAUUUUCUAGUUCCUGAAAUUACCUAUAAUGAACAAUUUGAAAAAUAUUCUCAUCUAACUUUUGCUAGCAGCCCCAAAUCCCCUAGCAGAGAAGAUACAUUGUAUCAGCUACUUCAUCAAUUUUUAUAUAUCCUCUAGCCAUUUUUUAGGAUUAGCCCAAGAUGACCCUUUUGAAUUUCUAGAUCAUGACAUUAAAAAACAGUGACAGUUAGCCCAGGGCUGGCAGUUGCAGUUACCUUCCUUCAGUUAAUGUUAAGGCUAUGAAGUCAGCUUCAGGGAAGAGACACAUAGCUUCUAUUUUCUCACUCUAAAAUUAUUUUUGCUGAGAAAUGAUCCUCAUAGAUCAAGAGUAAAAAAAAAUUCUAUUAAGAAAGACUCCUCCAAACAGGUCCAAUCAACUUAAUAUGGAUAUAAUACAUCAGUGUAAAACAAGAUUCCUGCAGAAGUCAGUGAACCAAUGUGGAGAUUCUAUCAGGUUUCAAGUGUGUCUGUUGUGGUUAUGCAUUCCAUCACUGGGGAAAUAUCCAAAGAAUAUGUUUGGUAACGAGCUAUACCCAGUACCAGACAGAACUGCGCUACAAAAUCAUUGGUCAUCUGACUUUCAGAAGUCCCUUCUCUGACAAAUGGACCACAAUGAUAUUUUAUGUCUCCAGACAUUCAUUUCAUUUCAAAAAGAAUGCCCAAUAAUUCCCAGUCUUCUUAUUUCCUUCACCUACCUAAAACAGAGUAUCUGCUUACUUAUGCAUAUAUCAGUAAUACAGUUUGAUACAAUCUUAUGUUUCCUAUCAUAGUCUAGUAGCCUUAAAAUCAAUUUUCAUAUAUAACCUCUAAAUUUCUGCCUGUAUAAGUGAGAAAUUUUAUGCAGUUAUUUUGAUGUGUAGCAUUGCAAAUUCCUGCAUUAUUCCUUGUACCUUAACCUUUGGAACAUGCUGGGACUUGAGUCUAGUUACAGAUCUAGAGGCAAAUUGGGUGGUGUGGGUAGGUCCUGGGAAGAAUCAAUGAUAGCUUGCAAAUCAGCAAUUUCAUUAUCCAUGACAAUCUCUUUUAUUUAAAGUUAAAUGUUUAUGAGCUUUAAUCACAUCUACAAAAUAUCUUCUCAGCAAUGUGUAAAUUAAUGUUUGAUGGUGAACUAAGGUACUGCCACAUUGACACAUAAUCACAAUUUCUUUCCACUGAGUUUAUUCAUACAGUUAAUGCCUCACAAGCUGAGUCAUUCAGAGUUCUUCUGAGAAUUUUGGAAAUGCCUCCAGAAAAGUGUCUUUCUAAUUGUUGAAGAUACAACAUACCAAGUUUGGGCGCUGACACUGUGCUGUUCUCUGCUUUGUGGACCAGUGAAGCAUAAAUUGCCAAGAUGCAAAAUAAUAGAGGAAUGUAUAAGUGCACAGAGAGGAAGAGAUGUAUGGAUCAAAAUUUGCUAACUCUGCCGAUGUAGCUUUCUCUCAUUUUUCCUGAGGUCUAAGAAUAUCCAUAUCCUUGUAUUUCAUGACAAACCUCUGUGUCUGGGUAAUACAUUUUCCCUUUUUUCUAAGCUUAUUUAGAUUUAGGUUUCUUUCACUUGGAAGAAAAAAAAAUAUUCUAAUUUCAUCAGGCUUUCAAAGACAGUAUUCUGGAGAAAAAAAUGUACAGUAUAAAAAUGCAAAGUAAUGCAUAAAUAUAAAGCAAAACAGGCAACUUUUAAUAAAAUAAUGAAAGACAAUGUGUGUGUUCUAAAUCCCAAACUCUGGAGUCAGAUAUGGUUGCUUCAAAUGAAGCCAGUUAAAGAACCAUAUAUACAUUCAUCAAAAAUUUUUACUCUGUGUCUAACACUGUUCUUGGCAUGGUGUAUAUUAAGUAUACAAUACCUACUCAUUUGAGCUUAAGAACUGAUGAAUUUUCCAUGUUUACUACUUUCUAGGACUCUGUGGAAACUGAGGCUUAUAUGAAGUGCCCUAAUCAAAGCCACAGUAAGGUUAUGCCACUUCCAUAGGCAUGAUAAAGACCUGAAACAAGAUGCACAUUAAGUCUUGAGCAAGUUGCUUGGCACACAAUUAGCGCUUAAAGUAAGUGGGUAUAUUUCCAAUAUUAGUUAGCAUUAGAGUCACUUUCAGCUUAGAUGAUCAAGACUUCAGGUUAAGGACAAAAGGCUAUGUGAUUGUGGCAAGGACUAGCAGAUAUCUACACUAUUUUCAUUCUCUGUCCUACUGAAUUUUCUUCAGGGUUCUUAAUUUUAUUCAGGGUGUUAAUAUGCCCAUUAAAAACAUCAUAUUUUUCAAGUUUCUGUUGCAGCUUGAUUUGGCUAUAUAUUCAGUUCUGGAGAUAUAAGUGGUUCUGCUGGGAAAUUUCAUCUAUAAAAUGUGGGAGACACAUUUUUUAUGGGUCUUCUUUCUCUGGUCUCUUUCCUGGAAAUUCUAUAUCAUAGACAGCUGCAGACUCCAUCUUGUAUGCUGCUGGAUUGAACUGUACAUGCUGAACAGCAAAGCAUAAAUAAAGAUUGCACAGAGCUCCCAAUCAAGCAUCAACUGCCAAACUUGGGAUCUUUAUGUGAAAUAAUAACCUAGGUUAUAUUUAAUCUUUUAUAGUUUGUUGUCUAUUAUUAGCAGCAAAACAAUUUAUAACUGAAGCCGUAACUUUUAGUAAAUAAAAAAAUAAAGUUAGCAUAAAAAAGAUUUUGAAAGUCGUAAAGGAAAAAAAAAUGUGAAUGGUUCUCACUAUGCUUGCUUCUCCCUCUAUUUUCUUGACCGUGAAGUCUUGCUCCAAAUUGAAAAAGUAAUUAGCAUUAAAAGAAGGGGACAUACACUAGGAGAAUAUCACUUAGAUUUUUAGGGACAAAUAAAAAGUCCUUGUUGAAGACUAGAGGAAACCAACAAGAAUAAAGAUCACAUGCCAAUCAGAGAUAAGGAGCUACUUGCAAGUAAAGGUUAAAGCAUUUAAACCCCAAGAUCUGGAAAUACCCUGCCAGUACUGGUACACUUCCUUGGCAUUUAUCUUGUCAUUUAAAAUCUUCACAGCAUGCAAUGUAUUGAGCUUAGUCUUCAUGCUCUAUAGGAUAUUAGAAGACAUAGUGAAAAAACUAGAGAGGGAGAAGAGGAAAAAGAGACAGGCAGCAGGGAGACAGGACCUCCAUUAUGGCACACAAUGAGAAAAGUCCUGGGGCUCAGCUGCAGAAACACACAUACAUGUGAGGGUGCAUACACACACACACACAAACACACCCCUCUAUAUCUCCAUCCUUUGCUGUAAAAAUAGUUUGAGUCAGAGAAAAGCUUCACUUUAACAGAGAGUGUACAUUACUUGAGUUUAUAUUAAUAGAAUAUACUUUCCUUUGAGAACACCUUCUCUAACAUUGAACUGUGAGAAUUUAGUUCUCUCCACAUCCCUAUUCUUCUACUCUUCCUGUUUCCUCUUUACUCUCCUAUAUUCCUCUUUCUUCUCUUUCUCACCUCCCUUCUCUUAUAGAAAAUCAAGUAGGUUAGCAUAAAUUUUCUCCAAUUUACUGGCAUAGGACGUCCUGGCAAAUUUUGCAAAAAUUAACAUCUUGAAGAACAAUGAAUCUUUAAUUAUAUCAGCUAAAAUAUUUUAUUUAGAUGAAUGUUAAGAGUCAGAUAAACCAUACCUAUGAUUUUAAAAAUCUAAACAUAAUUAUGCAUGUGAAAAGAUUUGUGCCUGUGCCAUACGUGCUCAAAACUUAAAUGGGAUUUUAAGGCUGUAAUUUCCUUUUUCUAUAUAUCUUGCUUUUUUGUUUUGUUCUGUUUUUGCAUUUCAACAGGCACUGAUAAUGAUAAUGUGCAUAUGGCAUAGCUGUAUUCUCUUUUUAUAUGUCAAUUCAUAUGCUCACCUCCUACUUGAACAUUUCCCUGAGGACACAACAAUAAGACAGAUUUCCCUUUUCUAAAGGUUAAUGCCAGUAACAGCCUCAGUCUCUAACUUCAUAGAGAUAAUUAUUACUAAUUGUUAAGAAAAAAGGGCAGAUGUUUGGUUUCAUUUCUGUCUUGCAACUUUCUUCAAAUUAUUUAAACUCUCUAAGAUUCUGUUUCUUUACUUGUACAAUGGAGAAAGUAGCAUUACCAUCCUUUCUGGUUGCGGCCAGGACUAAAACAUAAAAUUCAAGGAGUACACAGAGCACUGUGCCUGGAACUGAGCAAACAUCAGCAAAUGUCAAUUGCUAUCUAAGAUAACAGUCAUGUGAUGAAUUUCUUAAACACAAUUAGAUUCUAAACUCUUGGAAAGCAGCAAGAUUGUCUUGGCUAAUCUUCUAUUUAUUACUCUUAAAAUGUAACAUUUUGUCUUUUAUAUAGAGAAUAUGUAGUGAAUUGAUACAUGAUUGAUACUUAUUCUUUUAUUAAAAAUUAUUUUUAAGCAUCUAUAGGGUGCCAGGCAUUGUUUUAGGAAUAAAAAAUAUUACAGUAUAUAAUAAAAGAAAUGUAGAAGCCACUAAAUUAAAAAAAAACACACAACAAUAACUAAAAGACAAAAAAGUCCUUACUUUGUAUUCAGAUUUAUCAUUCUUGCUUCUAUGACACAUUUCUCCAAAAGUACUGCUUGCAAUCUGCAAAAUCACAAAAUAGAUAACCUAGCUUGUUAGAAUUGCAAAUAGACUGGUGUAAACUAAGUCUGUCUUUACUGAGCACAAAGUCCUGAAAUGUCAGUGCCUGUUUAAUACUAAUGUAUGUUGAGUUUUUAAGAGUGUGAUGCAUGGGUGGUAUUCCUAAAUCUUUGUUCAUAUGACAUGCAUUCAUAUUAUGCUGCACUUAAGGUUUCUUUGGAACAAUCUAGUGUGUGUUUUUUAAGAGCCAAGGGAAUUAAUAUGGACACAUGAAUGAGGUAUGUUUCUCUUAGUUACAAAGCAGCAAGAAUGAUCCCUUUCAAAAUUCAUAUUAAAUUUAAAUACAUGCUUGCUCUAAAGCCUCCAGUAGAUUUUCAUUAUAAUUUCAAUGAAAUUCAAAUUUUGACCAAGGUCCUUGGCUAUUUCUUUAAUAUGAUUCCUUACCAGUCUUCCUUCUUUCCUUUAAAUAUAAAUCCAUUAUAGAAAAGGUAUUGUUUUUUACAUAGGGGCAAAAAUACAUAUAGGAAAAUUUCUAAUUCAUAUUUGCUAAAUAAUAAAUGAAUGAUCAAAAGAACUAAGAGUUCUUUUCUGUUGAGAAAAAAAAUCCUCAGGGAAGCCUGCAUAUAUGGCAUUGUCUUACAUUAAUUAGCUGCAUAGUUUCAGAAAUGCUAUGUACACUGAAUUUAAUAACAGCGGACUUAAAAGAAAGGUACAUCUACCACAGGGGUGUGCACAACUGGUCAUUAAAGUUUUACACAUGCCAUAUGGUAAAAACACCCUAUCUUCCACUUAAGAUUAUAUUUAGUAGAAUAGAACUUUUUCAGGUGCAGUCUCAGCUGACAAUUUAUUAGGCAGGAUAGUCUGGCAGAAAAACCCUGUGUAUAUAUUAAGAAUCCCUCCUGAAAGACCCUGUAGCCUAAUUGUGAUAGUCAUCAAGGUUACACAGCUAUUAGGUACACAUUUUUAUUCUACCAUCAGAAAGAGAAAGAUUCUCUUCCUUACUGCAAAAAUGUAUAAAAACAUGCAGUCUACACAUUUUUACAUCUUUUCACAAUGACAAAAUGUAUUGUGAUUUACAAUUCAGGUUCUGGGUAGGAAAUACUUGGGUUUAAAUAAGAGUGGCACCACUUACUUGACAUUUGAUGUUGCAUGAUUCAGCCUGUAAAAAGGUACUGGAUUUGUUUUGCUAUUACCUCAUUAUAAGUUGACUUUCAUUCUUAGUGAGGGCCCAAUACAUGUUGGAAGGCACUUUCCUCAUAGCAAUAGUUUCCCUGCUAAUGGUGGUGUGGCUGGUGGUCAAACAAACUAAACUUGUGGCAACUUGUGGAACGGAUUCUUUCAAAGUGUCUGGGUUUAUAACAUAUGAAAUCAGGCCUACAUAGCUACCAAUACCACCUCAAGCAACUUGAGAUCUCCUGGAAUAUAUGGUUUAAUGGGUAGGGCUUUAAAAACGAAAGCUUGAAUCUCUUUCAAAACCCUUUCUUUAGAUGCACUGACUAACUCAGAAUAGGCAAAUAUUUAAGGUACUAAUGAACAGUAGGGCCAUCUUCCUAUGUAGAGUAUGGGCAGCAUGGGCAGUCCUCAGAAUAUAAAGAUAUUUACCAAGUCUUUUGCCUAUUUCUGUGAGGUAGCAGAUGCGAUGUGCCUUAACUUGUUCUUUUUUUGUUGGAAACUGGCCUAUGAUGUAUACCAUUAACACUGUAUCCUAUAAUUUCAUGACUAUGGCACUAACCUUGAUGAUCUAUCUACUUGAAUGUAAUUAUACUCCUGGUUUAUUAUUUAGACCUGAAUGAAAGAAUGUAUUAUUUGUGAUUUCACUUGGAAUUUUCACUUUGUUCUUAUUUCAUAAGUCUUGGAAUUCUAGGCAUAUAGAUCCAAGUUACAUAUCAAGAAGAAAUGAACUAAGGAAAUGAACACAGGAUGGAAAUAGAGUUGGCCAAUGGCCCAUAGGUUCCUUUGAGGUAUGGACUGAGUUGCUAUUUAUCAUUGAAAUACCAUAUCCUUCUACAGUAACAAAGGAAAGUGAUAGCGAACUUAAAAAGAGUGAAGCAAUAUUUUAUUGAGGCCCUAAGAAAUUUUGCAAGAGCUUGUCUAAAAACAAACAAAAAUAUUAAUAAAUAUUAAAAUUGCUGGGGAUGUGGCUCAGUGGUUAAGUGCCCCUGAGUUCAAUCUCUGGUACCAAAACAAAAACAAAUAACAGUGAAAAGGGAAUUCAUUAUAAUUCCUUAGUUCAGAGAAUCUUGUAUCAACUUGGCCUCUAAUUUGUAGCCAGGAGAAGGCACUACAUUACACAAAAUAUCUCAGCAUUCAUAGCAGAUAGUAUGUAAAUAAAGAUGGUAGGAAAAAUUCUUAGUAUGAAAAUUGAAAAAUUGCCUCAAAACUGGCCAUUGUAGUCAAAACCACUGGAGAAUUUUCAAUACACACACACACACACACACACACACACACACAGACUCUAUUAGAUGACUGAUGCUGACUUAAAAAAAGCAAUAGCAAUGAUUUUGCAAGAGUUGAAAGGAAGUUACACUUGGGUCAUUGAAAACAGUAAAUGUUAUGUUCUAAAUGGUUACAUUACCAACAGUGACACAUUUUUAAUAUAGUCAGUCUGUUAUCUUCAUCUGUAAAUGAGAAUUCUGCGUAGCAUAUUACAAUUCUUCAUGUGGAAGUCCUCCAGGAUAUGACACACAGGUAAGAAUUUAUAUUCCUUAAAGUAAAGUUUGCAGGGACAAAACUAUCAGCUACACACUACUAUCAGGAUUGUAAUGAAAGAACUUGAGCAAUUCCGGAGACAUUGUGAAAGGACAAUAUACUUUGGUAACAUUAAAAAUAUAGGUACCUGCCUGGAUAACUUGACCAUACUAAAAAAUAUUAUAAUCAGAAAUUUUCCCACUAAGGAAAAAAUGUUUUCUUUUUCUGAAAAUGUGUAAUCUAUUCUUUCUAUAUCAGAAACCAAAAAUGGAAGGAAUUCACCCAGUUAAUCCCUAAGACCACCACCACCAACAAAAACCCGAGAAGCUAAAGAACAAAUUUAAGGAUUUAUCAGUAUUACUGAGUUAUGGGAUCUCUUGGCAUCUGUAAGCUACUUCACUUUGGUAAUUUAAUUUCAUGCUUGCCUACUCCUGUAAAACUCCUGAGUGAAGGUCUCAUCAAGAUUUGGAAUGGUCACAAAAAUGUCAAAACUGACUCAAGAAGUUGAAGAAUGAACUCUUUCCUUCAGCACUUAAUAAUCUUUUCCUUCUUUUCAUUAUUAUUAAUGAAUUAUAUGUAUUAAACUAGGGAUAUUAACUCUGAAUAUAAUAGGUAUAAUCCUUUGUUUAUUCCACAAUAAAAAAAGAAAAAAAAACUUGUCCCCUAGGAAACAAGAUGUUGUUUUGAGAAAUAAGCUCUCCACAUGUUAUUUAAAGAAAUAAUUUAUUGAUGUAUAAAAUUUAAUAUGCAAAACAUUUUAGAUUUUACUUUAGGCUUGUAUUUCAAAUAUAUAACACUUUUAAAUUUUUUUCUAGACCAGUAUAAUAGAUUUCUACUAUAUUUUUAGUAAAUUGCUACUAAAGAACUUAUAAUAAAUUGUUAUUAUUUCACAUAAACUUGAAGAAAAAUAAUAAUGUAAAACCUUUCUUAAUUUCACAUGGAAAAAAUAUGAAUUCAACAUAAUAGUUCUACAUAAUAUGAGAAAACAAAUGUGAAACUUAAAAAUAACAGAUAAUAUAGUAUUUAGAGAAAUAAAAGAACAUUCUGGAGUGUCUACCUAAUAUUGUGUUGAAAACAUGGAUCAUAUAUACCCGUGAGGUAUUUAGAAGGCUGCAUAAUUCUGACAUAUUUUAUUCAGCUAUUUUUGCUGGGUUUACAAAUGAAAAUGAAUGGAGUAUUAAGUGGGGAAUGAAAGGGGAAUAAAAGAUUGAAAUAUAAAUGAAGAGUCCAGAUUUUGGAUAUGCAGCCAGUCCCCCCAAAACAAUAAAUGCCAAAUGUUCUGUCUGAUAUGUUAAUGUUAACCCCCAACAAGGGAGGAUGGGAAGGGAAAGAAUAGAAGUCCAUUGGAUUAGACAAAGGGGAACAAAGGAAAGGGAAGAAAAAGGGGAAUAGGAAGGACAGUAGAAUUAAUUGUCCAUACUUUUUUGUAGCCUUGUACAGGAAUACACAACCAGGUUUAUUCUGUGUCAUGUACAAUCACAAGAAUAGGAUAUUAAUUAGAAUAAGUUAUACUCCAUAUAUGUUUAAUAUGCCAAAAUAUAUUCUAUUGUCAUGUAUAUCUAAAAAGAAUGAAUAAAAUAAAACAAUUUAAAAAAAGAUUUUAGAUAUACAGCAUUAGCUAGAGAUAUUAUCUUUUAAAGCUAUUUUAGAAUUCUAAUGUAGCAGUGAUAGACACAAGAAUGUAUACUCAGAUCCUUCAUCAAGGAUACACUUGAUGCCAAACUGCAGAACUACAAUCAACAUUCUUCUGUUUUCAUUAUCUUCAGGUCUGAGCUGCAGGGAGCUGCUUUACCUGAAGCCUGGUAUGCAGUGCUGGUGACAGUAGAGGGGGAAUGCAUAUGUCCACUGAGUGAGCACUGUGGUUGUAAAGAUCCAGCUAUUGCAGCCCAACUUGGUAAACUUUGUUGGGCAAAACUCACUUUAGAGUCACCUACUUGGCUGGUUAAGGCUUUAUCAGAACUGCAUCAAUAUUUAUUUCUAUCUAUGCUUAAUCCUUCUCUGUCCUUUUUUUCUUUCACAGGUGCUGUUCCUUAAUAAAUAUUUUAUACCCAAA
Molecule: non-coding RNA, 10457 nt
Organism: Ictidomys tridecemlineatus (thirteen-lined ground squirrel)
Lineage: Eukaryota; Metazoa; Chordata; Mammalia; Rodentia; Sciuridae
Source: RefSeq, a predicted model, not a curated record